This 3686-nucleotide unclassified non-coding RNA is filed under the name Neodiprion lecontei (redheaded pine sawfly). RNAcentral's name for it is "tolloid-like protein 1, transcript variant X3". The record is from RNAcentral. Lineage: Eukaryota; Metazoa; Arthropoda; Insecta; Hymenoptera; Diprionidae.
CGCAUUUCGCCCCAGGCUCGUAUCAAGCUAUAAUUUAACUCCAGCGAUCUUUUGAAAAGGAUAAAGCUUCUUCCAAGUGGGAACUAAAAAACGUUUUGAAACUUGAACGGCGUGUAAUUAAACUAUCGUGUAGCAAAUACAAGGCUACCGCCGUGAGUAUCUUAUUGUGUUUAGCUUCCUCCUUUCUCUUUUGUCCGGAAUCUUGGUCAACGCUAGGGGGAUGAUGUCGCCUCUGAGGACCUUCCUCCCCCUCCACAGACCCGACGACACUCAAGGCGCCUACAGUGAACUCUCCUGGAAUUUCGCGCAACCCCUAUCGUCAGUUGGGGCGUGUUGAGGUGGAUGGCUGGACCUGGUCGACCGUUUGUCAACGCGUUGUUGCAAGGAGUUUGAGACAUGGUGAAUCAUUUACGUUUCAUUUGCGAUGUUAUUGUCGGAUGCAGAAAUAUGGGAUUGAAGGGCAAUGCAAAUCACAGAACGCCCGACCAAUUUUUCAAGAAAAUGGUUUCGUGCGUCGCGGGACUUAGCGCGUUUUAAAAUUCUGCACAAGAAGGGGACAAGAUUAACCGACUUGCGAAAGCGAAAUUUGUUCUUCGGAUUGAUCCGGAGUUCGGGUACCUUCUACUCUCAACCUGACUGAACCGGGGGGUGGAUUUUCCCAGCUAUUUACUAUCCCCGUGGAUGAUUCAACGGAUGGAAAAAGCUCCCCAACAUUCGGAGAGCUUGGCGAAAAUCUCGCGAAUCCCUCGCCCACCCCCCUUCCGUGCGUGUAUGUGAGUGAAAUCAUGCUGGUGAAACAUCAAUGUGAAAGCCGAAGGACACAGGGUGUGCUCUGAAACAAGCUGCCAGUGCUAUAAAUUCCUUAGAAGAAAGAAAGAUCUCAUUGUCAACCCAACAGUACAACAGAGAUAGAAGAUUGCUGACAGUCCUGCCAGCUAAUCUCGAUGAUCUACCAGAUCCACUUUCAACCCUCUUCCUGUGCUUGGAACAGACACUGACGAUAUGGACACAGUAUGGCCUCAGCACUCCGGCAUGCCUCUGGGAGUAGUUUGGUUGUAUCUGCCUUCCUUCUGCUACUCCUUCCACGUACCACUACAGCUCGUGAGGUAAUCGAUGUUGUACCACUACGCCAACUGGACUACAUUCCUUCAUUGCCGCCGCCACUGGGACCAUUCACUACUACCAAGACACCAAAGUGCGACCAAUCGUUCGCAAGCUUCCCAGAUGGUCCACAAAAUGGAACCUUCAGUGCUCCAACUUUGAUCAACCCUGAAGGUGAAUCUAGACAGUGUGUUUAUACAUUUCUGGCUGGCUCUGGGCAACGAGUUGAAAUUGUGUUUACUUCUUUCGGCCUUCGUGGUAUGCCUCCCGAUGGCGCAGCAGUUGGCGAGUUACCUGGUUGCGUUCAUGAGUACAUGGACAUUUACACAGAAGUACAGUCUGGAAAUCAUAGCAAGCUGAUAGAAUCACCAUUUGGCGGAAGAUACUGUGGACCUAUCCCUCCACGAAAGCGAGUUUCUUUGUAUCAGGGCAUUGCACUCAGUUUCUAUACUGACAAAAACGUUACUCUGCCUAAUCUAUUUACUGGCUACUACACUUUUAUCAAUGAGUCCGAUUAUGAAGUGGGAACUCCAGCGCCAAGUACACCAUGCACGUUUACAGUAGAUGCAGCUAUUAAAUUUACAGGAAAUAUAUUGUCACCAACUUAUCCGGGUGCUUAUCCCAAAGAUCUAGUCUGCAGCUAUCAAUUUAUCGGGAAGCCCAGUCAACGGGUUCGUUUAGAAUUCCGUGACUUUGAUUUAUUCUUUGGUGGGCCUCAUUGUCCAUUCGAUUACGUGAAAGUAUAUGAUGGCAUUGACAACACUUCGGCAGUUAUUGGUACAUACUGUGGGCAACAACGAAACUUGGUGCUUUACUCCUCCGAAUCUAGCUUGUUUGUGUUAUUUGUUACACUCCAGCGAACAGCCAAUACGCAAAAUCGCGGAUUCAAGGGUAUUUUUGAAUUUUCCGAAAGCUUUGUUAAAUUAGAUUUCAUUAAGGAUGAUGGCGAACACAUUCGUGGUUCGGAAUGCGAUCAGAAGAUAUUAAGUAAAAAGGAAUCCUUUGGCUUUGUGUUUAGCCCAAAUUAUCCUUUUCCAUAUAUACCCAAAAUAGUUUGCCGAUAUUUUAUCUAUGGAAUGCAAGAUUCACAACAUCUAGAACGUGUGCGACUAGAGUUUUACAAGUUUGAUAUACCCAAAGGGCAAGCAAAAGGAGACUCGGUCUGUACCGAUGGAUAUUUGAAAGUAUAUCUAAAAGGGCAGGAGGCAACAGAUUCAUAUGAUAAAUUUGAUCACGAAUUGUGCGGUGGAGAACACAAACCAAGCAAUGUCGUCAGUGACGGUCCACGGCUGGUCAUGGUUUUCAGCAGCGGAGAACUUCAGGGCAACGGAUUCAAAGCUCAGUAUCGAUUUGAAACAGAGUAUCGGAUACCUGGAACGGCAGCACCCGAUGGAACCUGUUUAUUUACGUAUCGCAGUUCAUCCCGUAAAAGAGGAGAAUUCAAUUCCCCACGUUACCCUAGCAAUUACCCCAGUGAUACCAACUGCACUUAUUUAUUUUUAGCCACACCGAACGAACAGGUUACGCUAGUAUUUGAUCAUUUCAAGGUCAGAGCUGACAAUGCCAAUUCAUCGGUAGGAUAUUAUGGAAUUCAUAUUUGCCAAGAAGAUUGGUUAGAGAUAUACAAUAUGUAUCGGGACAACACAGAGAAGUUGAUUGGUCGCUAUUGCGGUAUGACAGCUCCGGGACCUGUAGAGUCAAAUCUUGGGGCUCUUGGACUGAAAGUUAUCUUGCAUUCUGAUGCUGAGCUUGUGUACAGUGGAUUCAAGGCUCGCUACACGUUUGAUGUUGCUAAAUCUAUAUUUGGUGAUUGUGGUUCAAAUAUCAGCAGUUUGGAUUAUGGGAUGAUCACUAGUCCCAAUUUUCCAAACAAGUAUGAUGGGCCAGCACGCAACUUGGCCAGUAAAACUUGUAAUUGGUUUAUAAACGUUAGACCAAAUUAUCGAGUACUUCUGAAUUUCGAAUUAUUUUCUGUUGAAGGCGAGCAGUCAGCACGAGGUUGCCCCGCAGCAGUACUGCGCAUGUGGCACAUGGUGUCGGCUCCACCACUUGAACUCUGUGGCGUUAAAAGCGCUGAUGCUAAAUGGAGUUAUGUAUCUGAAGAUAACAACAUGCGCCUAAGUUUUAUAUCUGCGGACAAAGCUGUGGGUCAACAGGGCUUCCGAGCGGUAUGGACGGAAGUGGCUACGGACGGCGAUUGUUCUGGACAAUUUCUUUGUAUCGUGAGCAAAUAUUGUAUUACCAAGGGUCUUCACUGUAAUGGAAUUAACAAUUGUGGGCCUGAUGACUCGUCUGAUGAAGAAAACUGUGCAGCAUCAGCUCCCUUGGAGCCAGCAUUGGCUGGAGGCACUGCCAUGCUUCUUCUCUCUCUGUGCUUUGUGUUCGUGGCCACCUGAGCCUCACACGUGGCUUCCAACGGGCCGGCAUGUUAUGAUCUCCCUUAUCACGUACGGUAGUAAUACCUCCUGACAGUUAUGCUGUACCAGCCGGCUGUGCUGCUGGUGCCAUUCUGAUAGCAACUUUAUUUUGUCUACUAUGCCACCGAAAGUUGAAGAAACGUCCUCAAGAGGUUCAUAUCGACGACU